RNAcentral lists this unclassified non-coding RNA (288 nucleotides) under Hevea brasiliensis (rubber tree). Lineage: Eukaryota; Viridiplantae; Streptophyta; Magnoliopsida; Malpighiales; Euphorbiaceae. The record is from RNAcentral.
CCGACUUGCGUGGAAUGAUGCCGGGCGCCUUGACGUCGACGCGCUUGCGUUCGGUCGCCUGGAUCGGGCCCUUGCCGUCGAUCGGAUUGCCGAGCGCGUCGACGACGCGGCCCAGAAGUCCCUUGCCGACCGGCGCGUCCACGAUGGCGCGGGUGCGCUUGACGGUCUGGCCUUCCUUGAUCUCGCGGUCGGCGCCGAAAAUAACGAUGCCGACGUUGUCGCUUUCAAGGUUCAGCGCCAUGCCGCGCGUGCCGUUCUCGAACUCGACCAUUUCACCGGCCUGGACGU